Molecule: long non-coding RNA, 796 nt
Filed under: Gallus gallus (chicken)
Lineage: Eukaryota; Metazoa; Chordata; Aves; Galliformes; Phasianidae
Description: long non-coding RNA NONGGAT002407
Source: RNAcentral
AUGAUGACAGAAAUCACUUCCUCCACAAGCUUCGAACUCCAGACUGAGCAGCACUCACCUCUCUCAACCACCACCUGGAGGUUGGUUGUCUCAUCGUUGAACCACCCUGGGAUCUCCACACGGCAGCAGUACGUCCCACUGUCUGUUUCCUGGGCAUUCAGGAUGGUGAGGGACACGUUGCCCUUCAGCAGGUCCCCUUUCAGCACAUACUUCGUGUGAUGCCUCUCUGUCACCUUCCGCCCAUCUGUCCAGAUAAUGGGUUGAGAACAUUUGGAAGCGGGGCAGGCGUCCCGGCCCCAGCACAUUGAGGUGAUGUCGUAUUCUGUCUUAACCCUGUAAAAGCAGGGCACGGUGACAUUCUGACCAACCUCUCCCUUCACCAGCAGUCCCGACACUGUGGGGCCUGUGGACAGAAACACAGACAUUAAAUAGGUUGCGUGCAGCGGGCAAAAAGGUGAAGAGAGAAUGGAGUUUGGACCCGCACAGCUCAUGACCACAUUCAGCUGUUUUUCGUGCCCACUGAGUUACCUGUAAGCCAGAUCAGAAGGAUCCAGUCCAGGAAGAAAUGAGAAGACAUUGUGGCCAAGGAUGAGGAACACUCUUAUUCACUCUUCGUGCAUCUACAUUCGAAAUAAACUAUCGUUUUCAUAAACUGCUGGUUUUACUUCUCAGUACUAGCACGUCAGCUUCAAACAGGAUGAUGCCCUUUGGUCUGAUCAGGAUUGCCUUUUCUGUGGUUAGUCUGUUAGUCACUGAAGCUGCUUCUGCUGCUGAGAACGCAUGCAGCUGAAUGCUU